RNAcentral lists this ribosomal RNA (427 nucleotides) under uncultured bacterium. RNAcentral's name for it is "bacterial SSU rRNA". It matches the Rfam family "Bacterial small subunit ribosomal RNA", at positions 355 to 774 of the family's 1533-position model. The record is from RNAcentral.
UGAGGAAUAUUGGACAAUGGGCACAAGCCUGAUCCAGCCAUGCCGCGUGCAGGAUAAAGGCCUUCGGGUUGUAAACUGCUUUUGUACGGAACGAAAAGACUCCUUCUAAUAAAGGGGGUCCAUGACGGUACCGUAAGAAUAAGCACCGGCUAACUACGUGCCAGCAGCCGCGGUAAUACGUAGGGUGCGAGCGUUAAUCGGAAUUACUGGGCGUAAAGCGUGCGCAGGCGGUUAUAUAAGACAGAUGUGAAAUCCCCGGGCUCAACCUGGGAACUGCAUUUGUGACUGUAUAGCUAGAGUACGGCAGAGGGGGAUGGAAUUCCGCGUGUAGCAGUGAAAUGCGUAGAUAUGCGGAGGAACACCGAUGGCGAAGGCAAUCCCCUGGGCCUGUACUGACGCUCAUACACGAAAGCGUGGGGAGCAAACA